CGGGGUGUAGCGCAGAGGUAGCGUGCUGAGUUCGGGACGCAGAGGCUGGAGGUUUAAAUCCUCUAACCCCGACCA
RNAcentral lists this transfer RNA (75 nucleotides) under Dehalococcoidia bacterium. RNAcentral's name for it is "tRNA-Pro". It matches the Rfam family "tRNA". From Rfam's summary of the family: Transfer RNA (tRNA) molecules are approximately 80 nucleotides in length. Their secondary structure includes four short double-helical elements and three loops (D, anti-codon, and T loops). Lineage: Bacteria; Bacillati; Chloroflexota; Dehalococcoidia. The record is from RNAcentral.